AUCCCCUGGAUCCCGGGCUCGCGGGGGCGCGGAGAAGAGGAUCCAGGAAAGGAGAGGGCCAUUGGCAAGGAACUGAGGUGGCCUUCGAUCAACAGCCCACAAGGAAUGGAAUCCUGCCAAUAACAAUCAAAUGGUCCGAGGCAUCCAAGCAUGGCCUAUUGCCUGUGUCUUUAUUCUGAACAGAACAGGGCAGCCUUGGGAAAAUGCUGGCUGCUCAGCUAGCUCACUUAAAAAAAAUCACCUGAAGACUUCCUCCAAAUGGUUCAUAACUGAUAGGAGGGGAUGGUUGCUAGUGUUAAGCAAGACGGGACAAAGGAGUGGAGACUGAACUUCAAUCAGAUAAACCCAAUAUUUAAACUGUAAGGUCCUUGGCUAUGGAAGGUGACUGGAGAACCAUUGAUCCCUGCAUUUUAUAGGAAAAGCAAGGGCCCAUUGGAACCUGUUGCUGUUGUGACUGGAGAGUGAAUUCUGCUGGUGGGAAGACGGAAAUUAGAACAAAGGAUUGUUUCUAAACAGAAUGCCUGCACGCAGAUAUGAAGAUGAGGGGAGUAAAUGCCUUCAGCAAAAUGAGGAAACAAAAUGUGGUGUGAAAGCUUCCCUGUGGGAGAGAAGAAGAAAGAAAAGUUUAUGCACCUUGCAAUUUCAAGCUAAACAAAAAAAAAAAGCCAUCUUUGCCUUCCUAAAAUAAAAUAAAAUCCUUACCCA
Homo sapiens (human) is the source of this 705-nucleotide long non-coding RNA. The record is from Ensembl. Lineage: Eukaryota; Metazoa; Chordata; Mammalia; Primates; Hominidae.